AUGAAUACAACAAAGACACGACGGAAAGCAGAGCAAGUGUACCUUGUUUGGGAUGCUGUCGUGGUCGAGUGGAGGAAUCCUUCUGGCUCCGCGCGGGUUGUCCCUGUUCCCGGUAACGGCUACCAUCCACCUUUCCAGAGUGACAUCGUCGACUUCUUCUGGAUGGACUCUGGUCUCGUCCGCGGGCCCACAGUACAACCACAUGCAGUGGCUCCGGAACUGGAGAGGUUGGAUGCGGCGCUUGAGGAAAACCUCCAAGAGGUCCAUGCCUGUCACUCCGUCCCGAACCAGCUGCACCACUCGCUCCAUCAACAUCUUCACGUCGGCUUUCUCCUCCGGAAUCAGCUUCAGAGGGGAGGGCUUGUUCACUCGGUCCAUGGUAAACUGAGGGAGUCCACUCGACUGCCCUGGCGUCGACUGGACCUGGCAGUAGAACCAAGUCGACUGCCAGCCCCUGACGGACUCGGGAAAAGACAUGGGCGGGAAGGUGCUAUUGUUUCUCACCUGAAUCCCCAGGCCCCCACACAUUUGGACGACUCGGGUCUUCUCGUCACCUGGGCUCGCCUUCUUCACGGUCUGAGAGCGACACGUGAAGAUACGUUUGAACAGACCCCAGUGCGGUCGACAGCCCAAGAAACCCUCGCACAUGGACACGAACGCAGCAAGGUAGGCAAUGGAGUUUGGGGUAAAGUGGUGGAGCUGCGCCCCAAAGAAAUUCAGGAAACCCCGGAAGAAAAUGCUCGGUGGCAAGGAAAACCCCCGAUCGACAUGAGUGGCCAGGAGCACACACUCACCCUCUUCUGGCUGUGGCUGCCACUCCUUCCCCGGCAACCUCGCGGCUCCGUGAGGGAUCAAACCCUCGUCGGCCAUGUCGAGGAGGUCCUUCUCCGUGAUGGUCGACUGGAUCCAGUCGCCCUGGACCCAGCCUUUCGGCAGGCGGGAUCUGGACGAGGAUCCUCGGCGGCUGCAGGGAGGAAGAGAGCAGAGGGAGAGAGGGAGAAUGCGGAGGCGCAGCACAGAAAUCCUCGCCAGGCACAUUUAUAA
This 1044-nucleotide ribosomal RNA is filed under the name Triticum aestivum (bread wheat). RNAcentral's name for it is "partial small subunit ribosomal RNA". The record is from RNAcentral. Lineage: Eukaryota; Viridiplantae; Streptophyta; Magnoliopsida; Poales; Poaceae.